GUCGGUUGUCUCUGUUUCUAGGUGUCAACGAAGCGCUGUCAGUCCGGACAACCAGCGGCAAGUAGAUCUGUGUUUCUCGUUGUGUCCGUGCAAAAUUAUUCGCUGUUGGAUAUUCAAUUAACAGUCACUUGGUCGAAAUAAGUGAAAAUACCACCCUGACCCCUGCAAAGAGAUAUGAGCGGCAGCGGGCGGCAGAGGACCAGCUCGUUUGCUGAGCCGCCAGGUGUUCUAGGAGCCGCUGCCGCGUCCGCUGGAUCAGCCGCUGCCGUGGGGAGCAGCACAGGAAAAUCCGGGGUCCCGCAGGCCUCCGGUAGCAGCUCAUCGGGAUGCUCGAACUUAAAGCUUUCAAGAGACAGCGGGAAAGUAACAACAGUUGUGGCAACACCAGGGCAAGGACCAGACCGCCCACAGGAAGUCUCUUAUACAGACAUCAAGGUGAUUGGCAAUGGGUCGUUUGGAGUUGUCUACCAAGCACGGCUCAUAGACAACCAAGAGAUGGUGGCUAUCAAGAAAGUGCUACAGGACAAGAGGUUUAAGAAUCGGGAACUACAGAUCAUGAGGAAGCUGGACCACUGCAACAUUGUCAGGCUACGUUACUUCUUUUACUCCAGUGGUGAAAAGAAAGACGAGGUGUACCUCAACUUAGUGCUGGACUUUGUCCCUGAGACGGUCUACAGGGUUGCCAGGCAUUUUAACAAGGCCAAGAGCAUAAUUCCGAUCAUAUAUGUUAAGGUGUAUAUGUAUCAGUUGUUUCGUAGUCUGGCUUAUAUCCAUUCCCAGGGAGUGUGUCACAGAGACAUCAAGCCUCAAAAUUUGCUUGUCGAUCCAGAAACUGCUGUCCUGAAGCUGUGCGAUUUUGGCAGCGCCAAACAGUUGGUCCGUGGUGAACCUAACGUGUCGUACAUCUGCUCACGGUAUUAUCGCGCCCCGGAGCUCAUUUUUGGUGCCACAGAUUAUACGGCAAAUAUUGACAUCUGGUCUGCAGGCUGCGUUUUGGCUGAGCUGCUGCUUGGACAACCCAUAUUUCCUGGGGACAGUGGUGUGGACCAACUAGUAGAGAUCAUCAAGGUGCUCGGAACCCCAACAAGGGAACAAAUCCGAGAAAUGAACCCAAAUUAUACAGAGUUUAAGUUUCCUCAGAUUAAAGCUCAUCCAUGGACCAAGGUCUUUAAGCCUCGCACCCCUCCGGAGGCUAUCGCUCUUUGCUCGCGGCUGCUGGAGUACACGCCAGCCUCGCGCCUCUCUCCGCUGGAAGCCUGUUCACAUGCCUUUUUUGAUGAGCUGCGCCAGCCAAAUACACGACUGCCCAGUGGGCGAGAACUGCCCAUGCUCUUCAAUUUUAGCACCAUAGAGCUGUCCAUCCAGCCCCAGCUGAACUCUGCCCUCAUCCCUCCUCACGCUCGCUCUCAUACAGCUGCCUCCGCCCAUGGUGUGACGAAAUGUUUGAAUCUGCCAGCGGUAGCAAAGUGAAAACCCAACCAGGGUUUGAUUCAGAUGGAAGAAACAUUCACACUCAUCAUUUCAUUGAUGCUGCAAGAGCUUCCACAGAAUAUGGUUCAGAUUCAUCUCAGCACAGUUCGGUACCAGGAUCCCUUAACAGUAUCUGAAGCAGCAUCUCACCUGUUCAGCCGCCGGCCUCACCUUUCAUUCAGACACACACGUUCCUGCUUUCCUCCGUGCUGCUCGUAUUUUAGCUGCCAGAGUCCAAACUACGGGAGAUUGUUGAAGCAGCUCAGGUGGGAUGUGAAGGUUCAAUCCUGGGGGCUGGUCCUCUGUAAUAUAACCUUUUUUUUUCUUUUUUUAGAUCAACAUUCUUCUCCUUUUAUUAUGUUUUAUUUAUUUAAACAUUUAAAGCAUUAUUUUAUCAAACCACAUUUUGUGUCUGAAGUCUCUGCUUACAUUUAUUUAAUAUUAUAUAAUAUAUACUUUCUUUGCAUCCUUGAUGGUUAAUCCGUGAUUGCUCUUUCUGACCGAGACCGGAAUCGGCCUCCAAAAGGUCUUCAGGCUGAAAGAAUUCUUUUUCAUUAUUCAACUCAGGGCAAGAGAAUGACAGCAGCAUAGACUUCCUAAAAUUCUCCAACCAACAAAACCUGAUGUCCAGAGUGGAAACAAUUCCUGAACUUUUAAAUGACCUGCUGAAGAGGAAAAACGUUGGUGUUUGGAGGCUUGUAGCGAGGUGCCUUCAGUCAUGUUUAGUUACGUGUUCUUAUUAUUCAAACCUCGUUAAGACUGGCUGUAUUCAUUUAGAGAUAAAAUACUUUAGGUUUUCAGCUUUUAAACUUGAUUCAGAUUUUAAACACCCAUCUGAAGCACGUUAGAUAUGUUGUUACUAUACAGAAGCAAGUGCGUUCAUUCAUUCAUUCAGCUUUUUGUUUGCUGCUCUCACAUAUUUCAAGCUUUACUCAAAUGUCAGUUUGUGCAGAAUGUAAAAACUUUUUUUUGUUGUCUUCUGGCACAGUAAAGUGUUGAACUUUAACAGUGGUCUGAGCUUUGCGUAAAUGUUGUCCUGUU
Molecule: RNA transcript, 2511 nt
Organism: Thalassophryne amazonica
Lineage: Eukaryota; Metazoa; Chordata; Actinopteri; Batrachoidiformes; Batrachoididae
Gene: gsk3aa
Gene name: glycogen synthase kinase 3 alpha a
Exons: 12
Source: RefSeq, a predicted model, not a curated record